ACGGCGUAGUAAUGCAUCGGAACGUACCCUCUGGUCGGGGAUAGCUACGGGAAACUGUAGGUAAUACCCGAUAAACUCUGCGGAGCAAAGGUGAGAUUCCGCCGGAGGAGCGGCUGAUGUGAUAUUAGCUAGUUGGUGGGGUAAUGGCUUACCAAGGCGAUGAUGUCUAGGGGGUGUGAGAGCAUGGCCCCCACGACCGGAACUGAGAUACUGUCCGGACACCUACGGGUGGCUGCAGUCGAGAAUCUUCCGCAAUGGACGAAAGUCUGACGGAGCGACGCCGCGUGCGGGAUGAAGGCCCUUGGGUUGUAAACCGCUGUCAGAGGGGAUGAAAUCUUCGGAGGUACUCCUCCGAAGUUGACAGAGCCUCAAAGGAAGCACGGGCUAAGUACGUGCCAGCAGCCGCGGUAACACGUACUGUGCGAACGUUAUUCGGAAUCACUGGGCUUAAAGGGUGCGUAGGCGGCGAAUCAAGUCAGGUGUGAAAGGCCUGAGCUCAACUGAGGCAUUGCGCUUGAAACUGAUUUGCUUGAGUAUCCCAGGGGUGUGCGGAACUGCCAGUGGAGCGGUGAAAUGUGUUGA
Molecule: ribosomal RNA, 582 nt
Filed under: uncultured bacterium
Lineage: Bacteria
Description: bacterial SSU rRNA
Rfam family: Bacterial small subunit ribosomal RNA
Source: RNAcentral